GAUCAUGGCUCAGGAUGAACGCUAGCUACAGGCUUAACACAUGCAAGGUCGAGGGGCAGCAUGACGAUAGCUUGCUAUUGUCGAUGGCGACGGCGCACGGGUGAGUAACGCGUAUCCAACCUUCCCGUUGCUAGGGGAUAACCUUGCGAAAGUAAGACUAAUACCCUAUGAAGUUCUUCGCAGACAUCUAAAGAGAACGAAAGAUUUAUCGGGCAACGGAUGGGGAUGCGUCUGAUUAGGUUGUUGGCGGGGUAACGGCCCACCAAGCCUACGAUCAGUAGGGGUUCUGAGAGGAAGGUCCCCCACAUUGGAACUGAGACACGGUCCAAACUCCUACGGGAGGCAGCAGUGAGGAAUAUUGGUCAAUGGACGAGAGUCUGAACCAGCCAAGUAGCGUGCAGGACGACGGCCCUAUGGGUUGUAAACUGCUUUUAUGCGGGGAUAAAGUGUGGGACGUGUCCCAUAUUGCAGGUACCGCAUGAAUAAGGACCGGCUAAUUCCGUG
Molecule: ribosomal RNA, 504 nt
Filed under: uncultured bacterium
Lineage: Bacteria
Description: bacterial SSU rRNA
Rfam family: Bacterial small subunit ribosomal RNA
Source: RNAcentral